CCCGGGGAAGGGAGGAAGGCUGCACUUUGCAUUUUAAAUCCUGAAAACAUAUUUUAAGGGCUCUGCUUCUGUCUGUUCUCCAGUUCUUGAGAAAAACUCAGCUAAGGAAAGAUUUUGGUAGGAGCCCAAAAGUGACAUUCGCCUGCCUUUUCCAGCUGCAAAAAUCCCCGUGAAGCAGCCCCUGUUGGGAAAAAGAACCCCCCAAGCCAAAAUCCAAGGUUACCGAGUCCCUGCUGAAGCCGAAGGGGAGGGAUGCUGUUCGCCCCAGCCUGAGAAGCAGCAGGGAGGAGGUAAGGUGAAUCUGUACAUGAUCAGCAAGCCGUGCACCUGGCAGUGAUGUCCUGAGUGCUGGUUGAACAAAGGCUCAUAUUUUUAUUUGUUUUUGUCAUUUGAAAGAAAAGAGCUGGGAGAGCGAGAAUAUUAGCAAUUUACUGUGAGGCUCCAUUAGAUCAAAUCAGCG
RNAcentral lists this long non-coding RNA (460 nucleotides) under Anas zonorhyncha (Eastern spot-billed duck). Its description in RNAcentral is "lncRNA (ENSAZOG00000008829.1)". The record is from RNAcentral. Lineage: Eukaryota; Metazoa; Chordata; Aves; Anseriformes; Anatidae.